This is a non-coding RNA of Paramuricea clavata, 159 nucleotides long. Lineage: Eukaryota; Metazoa; Cnidaria; Anthozoa; Malacalcyonacea; Plexauridae. The record is from the annotation of a GenBank genome assembly.
GCAACAAAAUUGCUGCAACUUCCAACAAAAUCUGAUUUCUACGCAUGUUAAUUGAAAAUGUUUACACAUAAGUUACAAAUCACGAAGCAACAUGUGUCAACAUUUCUACGUAACAUGUGUUGAAAUCAGAUUUUGUUGCAAGUUGCAGCAAUUUUGUUG